Molecule: ribosomal RNA, 749 nt
Filed under: uncultured bacterium
Lineage: Bacteria
Description: bacterial SSU rRNA
Rfam family: Bacterial small subunit ribosomal RNA
Source: RNAcentral
AACGCUGGCGGCGUGCCUAAUACAUGCAAGUCGAACGAACUCUGGUAUUGAUUGGUGCUUGCAUCAUGAUUUACAUUUGAGUGAGUGGCGAACUGGUGAGUAACACGUGGGAAACCUGCCCAUAAGCGGGGGAUAACACCUGGAGACAGAUGCUAAUACCGCAUAACAACUUGGACCGCAUGGUCCGAGCUUGAAAGAUGGCUUCGGCUAUCACUUUUGGAUGGUCCCGCGGCGUAUUAGCUAGAUGGUGGGGUAACGGCUCACCAUGGCAAUGAUACGUAGCCGACCUGAGAGGGUAAUCGGCCACAUUGGGACUGAGACACGGCCCAAACUCCUACGGGAGGCAGCAGUAGGGAAUCUUCCACAAUGGACGAAAGUCUGAUGGAGCAACGCCGCGUGAGUGAAGAAGGGUUUCGGCUCGUAAAACUCUGUUGUUAAAGAAGAACAUAUCUGAGAGUAACUGUUCAGGUAUUGACGGUAUUUAACCAGAAAGCCACGGCUAACUACGUGCCAGCAGCCGCGGUAAUACGUAGGUGGCAAGCGUUGUCCGGAUUUAUUGGGCGUAAAGCGAGCGCAGGCGGUUUUUUAAGUCUGAUGUGAAAGCCUUCGGCUCAACCGAAGAAGUGCAUCGGAAACUGGGAAACUUGAGUGCAGAAGAGGACAGUGGAACUCCAUGUGUAGCGGUGAAAUGCGUAGAUAUAUGGAAGAACACCAGUGGCGAAGGCGGCUGUCUGGUCUGUAACUGACGC